GAUGAACGCUGGCGGCGUGCCUAAUACAUGCAAGUCGAGCGAACAGACGAGGAGCUUGCUCCUCUGACGUUAGCGGCGGACGGGUGAGUAACACGUGGAUAACCUACCUAUAAGACUGGGAUAACUUCGGGAAACCGGAGCUAAUACCGGAUAAUAUAUUGAACCGCAUGGUUCAAUAGUGCAAGACGGCUUUGCUUUCACUUAUAGAUGGAUCCGCGCCGCAUUAGCUAGUUGGUAAGGUAACGGCUUACCAAGGCAACGAUGCGUAGCCGACCUGAGAGGGUGAUCGGCCACACUGGAACUGAGACACGGUCCAGACUCCUACGGGAGGCAGCAGUAGGGAAUCUUCCGCAAUGGGCGAAAGCCUGACGGAGCAACGCCGCGUGAGUGAUGAAGGUCUUCGGAUCGUAAAACUCUGUUAUUAGGGAAGAACAAAUGUGUAAGUAACUAUGCACGUCUUGACGGUACCUAAUCAGAAAGCCACGGCUAACUACGUG
Molecule: ribosomal RNA, 497 nt
Filed under: uncultured bacterium
Lineage: Bacteria
Description: partial 16S ribosomal RNA
Rfam family: Bacterial small subunit ribosomal RNA
Source: RNAcentral